UGGGGAAUAUUGCACAAUGGGCGCAAGCCUGAUGCAGCAACGCCGCGUGAACGAUGAAGGCCUUCGGAUCGUAAAGUUCUGUUGCAGGGGAAGAUAAUGACGGUACCCUGUGAGGAAGCCCCGGCUAACUACGUGCCAGCAGCCGCGGUAAUACGUAGGGGGCUAGCGUUAUCCGGAUUUACUGGGCGUAAAGGGUGCGUAGGUGGUCUUUCAAGUCGGUGGUUAAAGGCUACGGCUCAACCGUAGUUAGCCUCCGAAACUGGAAGACUUGAGUGCAGGAGAGGAAAGUGGAAUUCCCAGUGUAGCGGUGAAAUGCGUAGAUAUUGGGAGGAACACCAGUAGCGAAGGCGGCUUUCUGGACUGCAACUGACACUGAGGCACGAAAGCGUGGGUAGCAAACAGG
This 403-nucleotide ribosomal RNA is filed under the name Verrucomicrobiota bacterium. RNAcentral describes it as "Verrucomicrobia bacterium partial 16S ribosomal RNA". It matches the Rfam family "Bacterial small subunit ribosomal RNA", at positions 355 to 776 of the family's 1533-position model. The record is from RNAcentral. Lineage: Bacteria; Pseudomonadati; Verrucomicrobiota.